GACGAACGCUGGCGGCGUGCUUAACACAUGCAAGUCGAACGGAAAGGCCCGGCUUUUGUGGGUUGCUCGAGUGGCGAACGGGUGAGUAACACGUGAGUAACCUGCCCUUGACUGUGGGAUAACUUCAGGAAACUGGGGCUAAUAUCGGAUAGGAGCUCCUGCUGCAUGGGGGGCGUUGGUAAGUGUCGGCUGUGGGGGAUGGUAUCGCGGGUUAUCAGCUUGUUGGGGUAGUAGGGGAUUACCAAGGCUUUGACGGAUAGCCGGCCUGGGAGGGUGAACGGCGACAUUGGGACUGCGGUACGGCGCAGAAUGCUACGGGAGGCAGCAGUGGGGAAUAUUGCAGAAUGGGCGGAAGCGUGAGGCAGCAACGCCGCGUGCGGGAUGACGGCCUUCGGGUUGUAAACAGAUUUCGCCUGUGACGAAGAGUGAGUGACGGUAAUGGGUAAAGAAGCCCCGGCUAACUACGUG
RNAcentral lists this ribosomal RNA (468 nucleotides) under uncultured bacterium. RNAcentral describes it as "partial 16S ribosomal RNA". It matches the Rfam family "Bacterial small subunit ribosomal RNA", at positions 28 to 507 of the family's 1533-position model. The record is from RNAcentral.